UGCUUAACCGUACUCUACACUCGCUUGCAGCUCCUGACCCCCAAGUCACUAUUCAUUUGGAGCGUUAGUAAGUGGCCUCUGAUCCAGAUCCAGUAGUUUAGUGGUUUUUUCCAUUCUUUUACUUGCGCGCAUUAGGAGUUACAUGAGCUACUAUAUCGUAUUUUUCCUUUGAUCCUGUUCCUUUCCUGAUCUCUGCCCCGA
This 201-nucleotide long non-coding RNA is filed under the name Musa acuminata (dwarf banana). RNAcentral's name for it is "long non-coding RNA (MACU_LNC007543)". Lineage: Eukaryota; Viridiplantae; Streptophyta; Magnoliopsida; Zingiberales; Musaceae. The record is from RNAcentral.